RNAcentral lists this ribosomal RNA (271 nucleotides) under uncultured bacterium. Its description in RNAcentral is "partial 16S ribosomal RNA". It matches the Rfam family "Bacterial small subunit ribosomal RNA", at positions 524 to 794 of the family's 1533-position model. The record is from RNAcentral.
UACGGAGGGGGCUAGCGUUGUUCGGAAUUACUGGGCGUAAAGCGCACGUAGGCGGCUUUGUAAGUUAGAGGUGAAAGCCCGGAGCUCAACUCCGGAAUUGCCUUUAAGACUGCAUCGCUCGAAUCAUGGAGAGGUGAGUGGAAUUCCGAGUGUAGAGGUGAAAUUCGUAGAUAUUCGGAAGAACACCAGUGGCGAAGGCGACUCACUGGACAUGUAUUGACGCUGAGGUGCGAAAGCGUGGGGAGCAAACAGGAUUAGAAACCCGAGUAGU